Molecule: ribosomal RNA, 497 nt
Filed under: uncultured bacterium
Lineage: Bacteria
Description: partial 16S ribosomal RNA
Rfam family: Bacterial small subunit ribosomal RNA
Source: RNAcentral
GAUGAACGCUGGCGGCGUGCCUAAUACAUGCAAGUCGAGCGAACGGACGAGAAGCUUGCUUCCCUGGUGUUAGCGGCGGACGGGUGAGUAACACGUGGAUAACCUACCUAUAAGACUGGGAUAACUUCGGGAAACCGUAGCUAAUACCGGAUAAUAUUUUGAACCGCAUGGUUCAAGAGUGAAAGACGGUCUUGCUGUCACUUAUAGAUGGAUCCGCGGUGCAUUAGCUAGUUGGUAAGGUAACGGCUUACCAAGGCAACGAUGCAUAGCCGACCUGAGAGGGUGAUCGGCCACACGGGCACUGAGACACGUUCCAGACUCCUACGGGAGGCAGCAGUAGGGAAUCUUCCGCGAUGGGCGAGAGGCUGACGGAGCAACACGGCGUGAGGGAUGAAGGUCUUCGGAUCGUAAAGCGCUGUUAGUAGUAAAGAACAAAUGUGUAAGUACCUGUGCACAUCAUGACGGUACCUGAUCAGAAAGCCCCGGCUAACUACGUG